CCGGACUACCCGGGUAUCUAAUCCUGUUUGAUCCCCACGCUUUCGAGCCUCAGCGUCAAUUUUCGUUUAGCCUGCUGCCUUCGCAAUCGGUGUUCCGGGUCAUAUCUAUGCAUUUCACCGCUACAUGACCCAUUCCGCAAACCUCAACGACAUUCAAGAAUGAUAGUAUCCAUGGCAGUUCCCAGUUGAGCUGAGGGAUUUCACCACGGACUUAGCAUUCCGCCUACGCUCCCUUUAAACCCAGUAAAUCCGGAUAACGCUUGCACCCUCCGUAUUACCGCGGCUGCUGGCAC
Molecule: unclassified non-coding RNA, 293 nt
Filed under: uncultured fungus
Lineage: Eukaryota; Fungi
Description: sequence contains ITS1
Source: RNAcentral